Molecule: ribosomal RNA, 566 nt
Filed under: uncultured bacterium
Lineage: Bacteria
Description: bacterial SSU rRNA
Rfam family: Bacterial small subunit ribosomal RNA
Source: RNAcentral
UACGGGAGGCAGCAGUGGGGAAUUUUCCGCAAUGGGCGAAAGCCUGACGGAGCAAUACCGCGUGAGGGAGGAAGGCUCUUGGGUUGUAAACCUCUUUUCUCAGGGAAGAAGUUCUGACGGUACCUGAGGAAUCAGCAUCGGCUAACUCCGUGCCAGCAGCCGCGGUAAUACGGAGGAUGCAAGCGUUAUCCGGAAUGAUUGGGCGUAAAGCGUCCGCAGGUGGCACUCCAAGUCUGCUGUCAAAGGUCGGGGCUCAACUCCGAACAGGCAGUGGAAACUGGAGAGCUAGAGUGCGGUAGGGGCAGAGGGAAUUCCCGGUGUAGCGGUGAAAUGCGUAGAGAUCGGGAAGAACACCAGUGGCGAAAGCGCUCUGCUAGGCCGCAACUGACACUCAGGGACGAAAGCUAGGGGAGCGAAUGGNAUUAGAUACCCCAGUAGUCCUAGCCGGUAAACGAUGGAUACUAGNGCGUGGCAUGUAUCGACCCUGUGCCGGUGCCGGAGCUAACGCGUUAAGUAUCCCGCCUGGGGAGUACGCGCGCAAGCGUGAAACUCAAAAAAAUUGACNG